RNAcentral lists this ribosomal RNA (443 nucleotides) under uncultured Allobrachymonas sp. RNAcentral's name for it is "bacterial SSU rRNA". It matches the Rfam family "Bacterial small subunit ribosomal RNA", at positions 933 to 1382 of the family's 1533-position model. The record is from RNAcentral. Lineage: Bacteria; Pseudomonadati; Pseudomonadota; Betaproteobacteria; Burkholderiales; Comamonadaceae.
UGGAUGAUGUGGUUUAAUUCGAUGCAACGCGAAAACCUUACCCACCUUUGACAUGGCAGGAAUCCUGAAGAGAUUGGGAGUGCCCGAAAGAGAACCUGCACACAGGUGCUGCAUGGCUGUCGUCAGCUCGUGUCGUGAGAUGUUGGGUUAAGUCCCGCAACGAGCGCAACCCUUGCCAUUAGUUGCUACGAAAGGGCACUCUAAUGGGACUGCCGGUGACAAACCGGAGGAAGGUGGGGAUGACGUCAAGUCCUCAUGGCCCUUAUAGGUGGGGCUACACACGUCAUACAAUGGCCGGUACAGAGGGUAGCCAACCCGCGAGGGGGAGCCAAUCCCACAAAGCCGGUCGUAGUCCGGAUCGCAGUCUGCAACUCGACUGCGUGAAGUCGGAAUCGCUAGUAAUCGCGGAUCAGCAUGUCGCGGUGAAUACGUUCCCGGGUCUU